This is a non-coding RNA of Physeter macrocephalus (sperm whale), 1208 nucleotides long. NCBI's taxonomy places the organism in Eukaryota, Metazoa, Chordata, Mammalia, Artiodactyla, Physeteridae. The record is from the annotation of a RefSeq genome assembly.
AUGAAAGACCCACCUCUGUCCUCCACCACUGUAUCCACACUCACCCUCACUCCCGUCACCCUGAACUCCCGAGUCACUGGCUCUCAGGCCAUCUUGCACUCCUCUGCCUGGAAUGACACAUAUUACCCUGUGUGCAUCUCCUUCCUGCCACUGACCACAGUUGAUGGAAACUACCUCUUUCCUUGUCUGGCACCCCCACGAGAAGGGAGAAGCCAGGGGGAAGGAGGGUGGCCCCAGUCUGUGGCAGGGGAGGAGGGCGAAGAGGGAGGAAUUCUUGGUGGCCCCUUCCCGCUGUGCUCCUACAGCGAGCUGCACUCCGGGCCAGGGACCCGGCUCGCGGUGCUGGGAGGGGAGCGGGGCGUUGAGGACGCCAGCAGGGCCGCGGGACCCCUUUUUGUGCUGAGCCCUGAAGCUGUGAGCGCUGCCACUCAGUACUUCGGGCCGGGCACGCGGCUCCUGGUGCUAGAGGACCUGAGCAAGGUGACCCCGCCCAAGGUGGCUGUGUUCGAACCGGCAGCAGCAGAGAUCUCCCGGACCCAGAAGGCCACGCUCGUGUGCCUGGCCACGGGCUUCUACCCCGAUCACGUGGAGCUGAGCUGGUGGGUGAACGGGAAGCAGGUCAAGACAGGGGUCAGCACGGACCCUCAGCCCCACAAGGAGGACCCCAGCCGCAAUGACUCCAGCUACUGUCUGAGCAGCCGGCUGAGGGUCUCCGCCACCUUCUGGUACAACCCUCGCAACCUCUUCCGCUGCCAAGCCUGGUUCCACGGGGUCUCGGACGAGGACGAGUGGAAGCAGGACGGGCCCAAGCCCGUCACCCAGAACAUCAGUGCCGAGGUCUGGGGCCGAGCAGACUGUGGCCUCACCUCGGCGUCCUAUCAGCAAGGGGUCCUGUCUGCCACCAUCCUCUAUGAGAUCCUGCUGGGGAAGGCCACCCUCUAUGCUGUGCUGGUCAGCGCCCUGGUGCUCAUGGCCAUGGUUAAGAAAAAGGAUUCCUGAGACCAGCUCCAAAAGUGCAUCCUGAGUCAUUCUUUAUCCUCUCCUUGUAUUCUCCUUAACAUGUUUCCAGUCUGUGUUCCUCAAGAGUUUCUCUCUCUCCACCUUUUAUCUCCUUCCUACGUGGAUAUCUGUUCCUUCUCUCAGCUUCCCUGUAGACUGAGCUCCUCACCACUGAAUCUGAAAUUGACUAAAGCAAUAAAAGUGUCAUG